CAUUUGCCCAUUAAUUUAAUUCUUCCCCCCUAUGCCUGAUGUUUUUCCUCUUCCCUCCAUUCAUUCCCUGUAUAAACAUGAUGGUCAGGCAUAAGGUCCUCUUCUGCCUCGGGCUUUGUGUCCCUGUUUGGUGAGUGGUUCUUUACUACUCUGCUGUCUUAUCAUUACUUUCCCUCCAUCAACUCCUGCCUGCUUUUUUCCAUUGGUAGAUGUCAACCCGAAGUCCUGAUUUUGGUCCUAUUUUUAUAGAAUAUAGUUCCUGGUGUAGGCAGAUUAACUGGCAGCUUUUCGUUCUGGUUGUUUUGCAGGAUCUUAUUUGCAGUGAAGAAUCUGAAUACCUGGAGAAACAGCUAGGAAAAAAGAGUAACUAGCAUCAUGUUAUGAGCAAGCUCUCCAGGGGUCAGCAGCAAGUACUUCCCCAUAUAAAUAAAAUGUGUGUGUAUGUGUGGGACUUGAUAUUACUAGUCAGGUUGAAAAAUUGUCCUCAAUGUCUUUGGGCAUUUGACAAACAUUUUUCCCCCCAAAAGGAUCAUAAAGUAUUGGCUGCUGGUUUUCUACUCAUGUUAAUCUUUGUCCUUCUUUCAGAUACAAUGGUGUUUAAAAAAACAUGUUUAAAUUAAAUUAGUUUUGGCUGUGAAUCAGCAGAGAGAGCACAAGAAAUGUAUUAUAUUGUUGUAAUGAAGAAAGGAAAUGUACUGAUGGAAUGUUCUGACAGAGUAGCAACCUGGGCACAAGCCAAGCAAACACCAUUAACAAGGAGUGCUCAUCCUGCCUCUGCUGUAGUCAUGGAACAAAAGCUGCUUAUAAAUCCAGCAACUGAUCAAACCUUUAGUCUGUGGUGUUAUCUUUUCUUUCUUCUCCUAAGCUGAGAUCAGCUUUGAAAGGGUUAAUGCUGGAGUCCACUCCUGCUGCCAGCCAACAUCUGGACAUGGGAGAGAAGCCGCAGGACCCUGAGAGAGUGCCAUCUCAGGGUCACCACCACCCACCACUGGAGCCUCCCAGAUAUGUCGGCUGUGUCAGCAGUGCACCAGGGACUGGACCCUCCUUUUCCAGCAGCUGGUGGCAGUCAUAGAAAACUCAUUGGCAUAGAAGCUGGCCUGACAGGAGGAAGACAUCACCCAGGAAAUAGCUCAAGAGGAGGCAUGGGACUGGGCACAAUGGGCAUACUGGGCCUAGCUGAAGGCCUGGUACAGUGCUGUGUGGAACUGCUCUAGCAUCAACUGGCCAGCCAGGCCUGGCCAGUGGUGCCUACAUCCAGCCCCCUCCAUGCCUGGCCCCUGAUCCUGCAGGAGGAGGGCCCCCACAGGAUCCCCUGGCAUUCACUGUGGCCCCCAGACCCAUGGGGGAGCAGUCUGCUGCCAGGGUGCUGGCUGCCUGCCACUGUGCCCAGGCACUCCCCAUUCCAGAACUUGGACAGAGACUCAGCAUCUUGUACAUAAUUUUCAGUUUGGGAGGAGGACUUUUUAUUGUUGGUGGGUAGGGAGAG
Long non-coding RNA from Gavialis gangeticus (Gharial), 1486 nucleotides. RefSeq lists it as uncharacterized. Lineage: Eukaryota; Metazoa; Chordata; Crocodylia; Gavialidae. The transcript has 4 exons. The record is from RefSeq and is a predicted model, not a curated record.